This 321-nucleotide ribosomal RNA is filed under the name uncultured bacterium. RNAcentral describes it as "bacterial SSU rRNA". It matches the Rfam family "Bacterial small subunit ribosomal RNA", at positions 28 to 346 of the family's 1533-position model. The record is from RNAcentral.
GAUGAACGCUAGCUACAGGCUUAACACAUGCAAGUCGAGGGGUUCCAAAGGAGCUUGCUUCUGCGGAACGACCGGCGCACGGGUGAGUAACGCGUAUCCAACCUGCCCUUCAUAUUGGUAUAGCCUCCCGAAAGGGAGAUUAAUCCCGAAUAACAUAUUUUGGUUACCUGAUUAGAAUAUGAAAGCUCCGGCGAUGAAGAUGGGGAUGCGUUCCAUUAGGUAGUAGGCGGGGUAACGGCCCACCUAGCCGACGAUGGAUAGGGGUUCUGAGAGGAAGGUCCCCCACACUGGAACUGAGACACGGUCCAGACUCCUACGGGA